Molecule: long non-coding RNA, 2013 nt
Filed under: Homo sapiens (human)
Lineage: Eukaryota; Metazoa; Chordata; Mammalia; Primates; Hominidae
Description: HSALNT0063114
Source: RNAcentral
AAGCAGGUUCCCCCUAGGCAGAGCGCCAAGAAGCAGCCCAGGCGAUCCCAAGGCGCACAAGUGCUCUCACCAGGCUGCGCGCUGGCGGGUCGGUGCACAGGGACGGGGUCGCCGCCCACGCGCGCUUGGUUCAGGGAGCCCAGGCUGUCCCUACCCGCGGCUACAAAAGCUCGCCGAGUCUUCCUGUCCACCCAAUCGCCCCACAUGUCAGCGGUUGGUCGCCUCGCGGUGCAGUGCUGGGCACGCGAGCCCCUCCCGCAGUCAUUCUCAGCACAAGCACCAGCCUGGAGCCCCGCAGCGACAGAGCUGAGAGCCCCCAAGCCGCAGAGGUCGUGCGGAGCAGGUUGCAAAUGUCUUAGAAACACACUCCUGGACCACAGCUUCAAGAGACGCAAGCAGUCACCUCAUCUGCUGGUUUCCAAGCUGCCCUGCCAGAAGCAGGUCAGGGGUCCCACAGGGGUCCUCAGUAACUCCUCAAAAUCCUCUCCCAUCAAUGGCCCCACCAGAUCAUCCCUACUUUUGAAUGCUUGUCCAAUGCAGGUUCCAGAUUUGAUUAAGUGAAACAAAGCCCCAGCUGCUGGAGCAGAGGUUCCACUUGGGUUCCACAGACACCCACAGCCCAAAUCCCUGGAGGCCUAAGGCAAUAGCUAAUUGAGACUAUGCAUCACUAUUAAGGCAUCUUCACUAAAGGGCGCUGUGGAAACGCUGCCUGAGAUGCAGACACCUGUCAGAAGGGGGCUAAAUUUCAAACAAGGAACGUGGUGUUGCAUCACAAUAAAUAGAUACGGGGUUUCACCGUGUUAGCCAGGAUGGUCUCGAUCUCCUGACUUCAUGAUUCACAUGCCUCGGCCUCCCAAAGUGCUGGGAUUACAGAACAGAAGAAACACACGUGUUCUUGUGUGUAAACCCAGUCCAUGGAAGAGACCGUCUGCUUGUCCCUCCUGAUCUCUGGGCCCAGACAACCAGUAGUCACCAUUCCAAGUGAGGGGUGGCUGCAACUCUACAGCCCCGUUCGUCUCUCCUCACUGUCAAAGCUGCUGAGACCCCAGACUCGACACUUGAAAGAAACCCAUGUCUGUGAAGCACUUGUGGACCAUUCAAGAUUGUGGAAGAAUCACUCAAGAGAAGGAGAUAGGUGAUGGGAUCUAGCUUCUGAUGGUUUCUAUUUUAUUGAAUGUCUAAUAGGGCAAGAAUUUGAAAAACGAGAAUGUUUGCCAUGCAGGAGGACCUGGGAAGGAGAUAACACAUUUACAGGGAGAAAGAUUGGGAUUCAGUUGGGAGGAGUAACUGAGGAAAGGGGUCACUCAAAAUAUUUUGUAUUUUAGGUCCUUUUUCUAUUAAGGAGGAAUGGAUUAUCAAAGCCUUAACAUUAAAUUGUAUUGUGUCAGGUGAAUUGCUAUGGUUUGAAUGUGGUGUGUCCCCCUCCCAAACUCACAUUGAAUUUUUUUUUUUUUUUUUGAGACGGAGUCUCGCUCUGUUGCCCAGGCUGGAGUGCAGUGGUGCGAUCUUGGCUCACUACAAGCUCUGCCUCCCGGGUUCAAGAGAUUCUCCUGCCUCAGCCUCCCGAGUAGCUGGGAUUACAGAUGUUCGUCACCACACCUGGCUAAUUUUUGUAUUUUUAAUAGAGAUGGGGUUUCACUAUGUUGGCUAGGCUGGUCUCAAACUCCCGACAUCAGGUGAUCCACCCACCUCGGCCUCCCAAAGUGCUGGGAUUAGAGGAGUGAGCCACUGCACCCAGCCUCACGUUGAGGUUUAAUUGCCAUUGUAACAGUAUAAAGAUGUGGGACCUUUACGAGGUGAUUAGGCAAUGAGGACUCUGCCCUCAUGAAUGGAUUAAUGCUGUUAUCAUGGGAGUGGAUUCCUUAUAAAGGGACACGUUCAGCACCCCCUUGCUCUCUCUCUCACCUUCCGCCAUAUGAUGAUGGGGCACAAAGGCCAUCAUCAGAUGUUGGCCCCUUGUUCUCGAACUUCCCAACCUCCAGAGCAGUAAAAAAAUAAAUCACUGUUCUUUAC